RNAcentral lists this ribosomal RNA (456 nucleotides) under Thaumeledone zeiss. Its description in RNAcentral is "partial 16S ribosomal RNA". It matches the Rfam family "Bacterial large subunit ribosomal RNA", at positions 1926 to 2597 of the family's 2925-position model. Lineage: Eukaryota; Metazoa; Mollusca; Cephalopoda; Octopoda; Octopodidae. The record is from RNAcentral.
AACAGCUGCGGUAUUAUAACUGUACUAAGGUAGCAUAAUAAUUUGCCUUAUAAAUUAGGGCUGGAAUGAAUGGUUUGACGAAAAUUAUACUGUCUCUAUUUUAAUUAUUAGAAAUUAAUUUUUAUAGUGAAAAAGCUUGAAUAAUUUAAAGGGACGAGAAGACCCUAUUGAGCUUUAUGUUGAAUAUAAAUAAUUAUAAAAUAUUAUUUAUUUUUAAUUUUUGGUUGGGGUGAUCAAGGAAUAAAAUUUUUAGUAAAAGUAAUUUCCUUAUUUAUACUAUUUACUUGAAUAAUAAACCAAAAUUUUUGCUUAAAUGAUAAGUUACCAUAGGGAUAACAGCGUAAUUUUUUUAGAGAGUUCUUAUUAAAAAAAAAGAUUGCGACCUCGAUGUUGGAUUAAAAUAACCAUUAGGUGUAGAAGCUUUAUUUGGUAAAUCUGUUCGAUUUUUAAAAUUUU